GCAUAAUUAUGGGCGCAGCCUGAUCCAGCCAUGCCGCGUGAGUGAUGACGGCCCUAGGGUUGUAAAGCUCUUUCGCCAGGGACGAUAAUGACGGUACCUGGAUAAGAAGCCCCGGCUAACUUCGUGCCAGCAGCCGCGGUAAUAAA
RNAcentral lists this ribosomal RNA (146 nucleotides) under uncultured type II methanotroph. RNAcentral describes it as "partial 16S ribosomal RNA". It matches the Rfam family "Bacterial small subunit ribosomal RNA", at positions 359 to 528 of the family's 1533-position model. Lineage: Bacteria; Pseudomonadati; Pseudomonadota; Alphaproteobacteria; Hyphomicrobiales; Methylocystaceae. The record is from RNAcentral.